CGCGGGAUGGAGCAGUUGGUAGCUCGUCGGGCUCAUAACCCGAAGGUCGUUGGUUCAAGUCCAGCUCCCGCAACCA
This 76-nucleotide transfer RNA is filed under the name Ruminiclostridium hungatei. Its description in RNAcentral is "tRNA-Met". It matches the Rfam family "tRNA". From Rfam's summary of the family: Transfer RNA (tRNA) molecules are approximately 80 nucleotides in length. Their secondary structure includes four short double-helical elements and three loops (D, anti-codon, and T loops). Lineage: Bacteria; Bacillati; Bacillota; Clostridia; Eubacteriales; Oscillospiraceae. The record is from RNAcentral. RNAcentral also lists the same sequence under 5 other names.